UGAAAGGGAUUGGAAACUUCCGUUCGCGGCUGGAAAUGCUAGUUACCUAUACCGUAUUAAUUUUAGGCCAAUUUACUCUAAGUAAUCGUAUGUAAAAUUAAAAAUGGCUGGAGAAGUGAAGCAGAUAACCCUUCAAUAAUGUAGAGGGACACUCUUUCUACUUGCCCAAGUAGUCUGCUGUGGCAAUCAUGAUGUUUGCAGUUGGAAUUCAUUGUUAAUCAGCACUGUCAAUCAUUAAUCACCAUUAUUACAUGUUUAAUUGUAUAUUUUCUGUAAUUUAUAAUCUAUAUGAUUGAGAGUGUGCCAGUGACCUCCGGUAUGUUCUAAGCAUUAGAAUGGUGUGAUAGUUGAUGUCAUAGACCAUUUAGUUUU
This is a long non-coding RNA of Amphimedon queenslandica, 372 nucleotides long. RefSeq lists it as uncharacterized. The transcript has 2 exons. NCBI's taxonomy places the organism in Eukaryota, Metazoa, Porifera, Demospongiae, Haplosclerida, Niphatidae. The record is from RefSeq and is a predicted model, not a curated record.